RNAcentral lists this ribosomal RNA (489 nucleotides) under uncultured bacterium. Its description in RNAcentral is "partial 16S ribosomal RNA". It matches the Rfam family "Bacterial small subunit ribosomal RNA", at positions 30 to 506 of the family's 1533-position model. The record is from RNAcentral.
AUUGAACGCUGGCGGCAGGCCUAACACAUGCAAGUCGAACGGUAACAGGAAGCAGCUUGCUGCUUCGCUGACGAGUGGCGGACGGGUGAGUAAUGUCUGGGAAGCUGCCUGAUGGAGGGGGAUAACUACUGGAAACGGUAGCUAAUACCGCAUAAUGUCGCAAGACCAAAGAGGGGGACCUUCGGGCCUCUUGCCAUCGGAUGUGCCCAGAUGGGAUUAGCUUGUUGGUGGGGUAACGGCUCACCAAGGCGACGAUCCCUAGCUGGUCUGAGAGGAUGACCAGCCACACUGGAACUGAGACACGGUCCAGACUCCUACGGGAGGCAGCAGUGGGGAAUAUUGCACAAUGAGCGCAAGCCUGAUGCAGCCAUGCCGCGUGUAUGAAGAAGGCCUUCGGGUUGUAAAGUACUUUCAGCGGGGAGGAAGGGAGUAAAGUUAAUACCUUUGCUCAUUGACGUUACCCGCAGAAGAAGCACCGGCUAACUCCGU